Molecule: ribosomal RNA, 489 nt
Filed under: uncultured bacterium
Lineage: Bacteria
Description: partial 16S ribosomal RNA
Rfam family: Bacterial small subunit ribosomal RNA
Source: RNAcentral
AUUGAACGCUGGCGGCAGGCCUAACACAUGCAAGUCGAACGGUAACAGGAAGCAGCUUGCUGCUUUGCUGACGAGUGGCGGACGGGUGAGUAAUGUCUGGGAAACUGCCUGAUGGAGGGGGAUAACUACUGGAAACGGUUGCUAAUACCGCAUAACGUCGCAAGACCAAGAGGGGGACCUUCGGGCCCCUUGCCAUCGGAUGAGCCCAGAUGGGAUUAGCUAGUAGGUGGGGUAACGGCUCACCUAGGCGACGAUCCGUAGCUGGUCUGAGAGGAUGACCAGCCACACUGGAACUGAGACACGGUCCAGACUCCUACGGGAGGCAGCAGUGGGGAAUAUUGCACAAUGGGCGCAAGCCUGAUGCAGCCAUGCCGCGUGUAUGAAGAAGGCCUUCGGGUUGUAAAGUACUUUCAGCUGGGAGGAAGGGAAGAAAGUUAAUACCUUUGCUCAUUGACGUUACCCGCAGAAGAAGCACCGGCUAACUCCGUG